CGAUCUAGGGCUGAAAAGUAUUUUAUUUACAUUAAAAAGGUUAUUAUUUUAUAUAAUGUAGUUCGA
Molecule: transfer RNA, 66 nt
Filed under: Trigonopterus ancora
Lineage: Eukaryota; Metazoa; Arthropoda; Insecta; Coleoptera; Curculionidae
Description: tRNA-Val
Source: RNAcentral